Pelobates cultripes (western spadefoot toad) is the source of this 525-nucleotide non-coding RNA. The record is from the annotation of a GenBank genome assembly. Lineage: Eukaryota; Metazoa; Chordata; Amphibia; Anura; Pelobatidae.
CUUGAACCUUCAGCAUCCAGACAUUAAAUUGACAAGUGAGUAUAGUGCAUCCAACAUUAACUUCCUGGACUUGAAUAUCUAUGUAGACAAUGAAGGGAUUAAGACCAAGACUUUCUUUAAGAAGGUCGACGUCAAUGGUUACAUAGAAACGUCCAGUUGCCACUAUGAAUCCUGGUUACGAAGCAUCCCUAAGGGCCAGUUCCUUAGGCUGUUUAGGAACUGUAGUGAUGCUGAAGUGUUUGAAGAACAGGCAGUUUGCUUGAGGGACAGGUUUGUAGAGAAGAAAUAUGACGCCAAGGAAUUGGACAGUUGCAUUAAUUCCAUCAAGAAGAUGGACCGAAGUAAGGUUCUGAAGAAAAGGAUACCUAGGGAGGAGAAGAAGGGUGCAGACCAGGUACCAAUUAUUUUGAAUUAUAGUGAAGAUGCCAAACAAAUUAAGCAUAUUAUCAAUAGACAUUGGCGUAUCCUUAAACUAGAUCCGAAUCUGAGGGAAAUUAUUGGUGAUAGGCCACGUAUUAUUUAUAG